RNAcentral lists this ribosomal RNA (850 nucleotides) under Coolia malayensis. Its description in RNAcentral is "LSU rRNA". It matches the Rfam family "Eukaryotic large subunit ribosomal RNA", at positions 43 to 855 of the family's 3401-position model. The record is from RNAcentral. Lineage: Eukaryota; Dinophyceae; Peridiniales; Ostreopsidaceae.
UAAGUAAGUGGUGGAAGAAAAAAUAAACAUGAUUCUUUUAGUAAUGGCGAAUGAACAAAGACAUGGUCAUUUUGAAAAUUGUGGUCUUAGAUCAUGAAUUGUAUUUUCAAAAUGCAUUGCUAACACAACUGCACAUGUUUGUUUAUUGGAAAGAACAUCACAAAGGGUGACAAUCCCAUGUGUCAUGUGUAUGUUUUGUGUACAGCGUGCAUUAUAUGAAUCACAUUCAUUGACAAUUGAAUGCAAAUAGAAUGGUAAAUUUCAUUUAAUCAUAAAUAUGUUGUUGACAACUUAUAGCAAACAAAUACCAUGAGGGAAAUGUGAAAAGGAUUUUGAAAAGAAAAUUAAAAGAGCUUGCAAUUGCUGAACUGAUAAGCAAACAAAACAUACGUGUGUAUGCAAGAUUGUUGUAAUGCUUAGCAUCUUAUGCAAGGCUAUUGCAAUGAUUUUUUGUAUAGUGAUGCUACCUUUCUUUAGAAUUUGGAAUGUCUUUUUUUGAGUGUGAAUGGAAUUUUGUUUGUUAGCAAAGGAAUGCACUUUUAGAUUCAUUGUUUGAUUUGAUUUAAAAAUGUUUGUGACACAUGUCUUUGUUUUAGUUUCAUGCUUCAACCAAGGACAUUGUGUUUGAUCCAUGUCAGCAAUACAUGUUUUGUUUGACCCGUCUUGAAACACGGACCAAGGAGUUUAAUUUAUGUGCAAGAUCAUGAAACUGACAUUUGUAUAUCAAUGAAAAUAUUUUGUUGGGAUUUGUGCACCAACAACUGAUAAGUUGUGUGACGCGACGUUGAGUUUGAGCAUGUUGAUUAAAACCCGAAAGAUGGUGAACUAUGCCUGAACAGAAUGAAGUCAG